GUGGCUCAGAAGAUCACUGGCAUUCAGAAGCUUCAAGUUAGACGCCUUCUUCUCAAAGUGCUUUUUGGUGUUGCCUAUCUUGGACCAUUUGGGCAUUUUCUUCACUUAUUACUGGACAAACUUUUCAAGGGGAAGAAAGACAAGAGUACAGUUGCCAAAAAGGUGUUGCUGGAACAAAUUACUGUGUCACCCUGGAAUAACUUGCUUUUCAUGGUUUACUAUGGAAUGGUUAUUGAAAAAAGACCCUGGAUCCAGGUGAAAUCUAAUAUCAAGAGAGAAUAUCCAAAAGUGCAGUAUACGGCGUGGGCGUUUUGGCCAGUUGUUGGGUGGGUAAAUCACUUGUAUGUUCCUCUGCAAUUAAGAGUAGUCUUUCACAGCAUUAUUGCAUGUUGCUGGGGAAUAUUUUUGAAUCUACGUGCAAGGUCGAUGGUCUUGAAAAAGGCUUGAAAUCCUCCAAGUUGAUAUAUGAACAUGGAAACAUCUCCUUGUGUUAGUUGAAUUGAAAAUGGUAGCUUGGAAUUGCUUAUUCUGUUUUGAUUUUCAUGUUUUCGCUGAUUCCUUCAGAACCAAGACAAAGUUCAUUUAGCGAUAAAUUGGUUGUUGUCCCUUUUCAUUGGGCAAGUGCAUAGGCAGAAUGUUGCACCCAUGGUAAUGUGAAAAGUUGUCUGUUAGGAAAAAAAAAACAAUGCUUUUCAAAUGUGACUUAAAAAAACAAGAUUGUGG
RNAcentral lists this unclassified non-coding RNA (723 nucleotides) under Hevea brasiliensis (rubber tree). Lineage: Eukaryota; Viridiplantae; Streptophyta; Magnoliopsida; Malpighiales; Euphorbiaceae. The record is from RNAcentral.